Molecule: long non-coding RNA, 325 nt
Filed under: Marmota monax (woodchuck)
Lineage: Eukaryota; Metazoa; Chordata; Mammalia; Rodentia; Sciuridae
Source: RNAcentral
GGGAAGCCUCUCCUUCCAGGUGUGCACUGCCUUGGAAAGCAUGAAGCACAUGCCACAGCCUGAAGGGGGGCUUUGAACUCAGGCCAGCCAGGUAGCCCUGUCAGCAGAAUGUCCCUCUCCACAGGCAGGGGUGGAUGCUUCAUCCCCACCUGAAAGGGGCAGACAAAUCACACAUCCAAGUGACAUCUGAUGAAGACAGCAAGUGGGCCACUCCUCUCCAAGCACCCUCUAGCCUGUAUGUUCAUUAAAAGUCUCCAGGCCCAGCUGGCAGUGGUGGUGCACACCUGUAAUCUCAGCAAUUUAGCGAGGCCCUGUCUCAAAAAUA